UGGCUCAGGAUGAACGCGGCGGCGUGCUUAUACUGCAAGUCGAACGAGUUCUCGUUGAUGAUCGGUGCUUGCAUCGAGAUUCAACAUGGAACGAGUGGCGGACGGGUGAGUAACACGUGGGUAACCUGCCCUUAAGUGGGGGAUAACAUUUGGAAACAGAUGCUAAUACCGCAUAGAUCCAAGAACCGCAUGGUUCUUGGCUGAAAGAUGGCGUAAGCUAUCGCUUUGGAUGGACCCGCGGCGUAUUAGCUAGUUGGUGAGGUAAUGGCUCACCAAGGCGAUGAUACGUAGCCGAACUGAGAGGUUGAUCGGCCACAUUGGGACUGAGACACGGCCCAAACUCCUACGGGAGGCAGCAGUAGGGAAUCUUCCACAAUGGACGCAAGUCUGAUGGAGCAACGCCGCGUGAGUGAAGAAGGCUUUCGGGUCGUAAAACUCUGUUGUUGGAGAAGAAUGGUCGGCAGAGUAACUGU
Molecule: ribosomal RNA, 473 nt
Filed under: bacterium Urffh28
Lineage: Bacteria
Description: bacterial SSU rRNA
Rfam family: Bacterial small subunit ribosomal RNA
Source: RNAcentral